UACGUAGGUGGCAAGCGUUGUCCGGAUUUACUGGGCGUAAAGGGCGUGCAGGCGGUUUGUUAAGUUCGGGGUGAAAGCUCCCGGCUCAACUGGGAGAGGUCCUUGGAUACUGGCAGACUUGAGGGAGGUAGAGGAGAGUGGAAUUCCCGGUGUAGUGGUGAUAUGCGUAGAUAUCGGGAGGAACACCAGUGGCGAAGGCGGCUCUCUGGGCCUUUCCUGACGCUGAGACGCGAAAGCGUGGGGAGCGAACCGG
RNAcentral lists this ribosomal RNA (253 nucleotides) under uncultured bacterium. Its description in RNAcentral is "partial 16S ribosomal RNA". It matches the Rfam family "Bacterial small subunit ribosomal RNA", at positions 524 to 776 of the family's 1533-position model. The record is from RNAcentral.